GUCUACGGCCAUACCACCCUGAACGCGCCCAAUCUCGUCUGAUCUCGGAAGCUAAGCAGGGUCAGGCCUGGUUAGUACUUGGAUGGGAGAGAGGUAGUGUGCUUCCAGCAACUCAAAGAUC
Ribosomal RNA from Dipodomys ordii (Ord's kangaroo rat), 121 nucleotides. NCBI's taxonomy places the organism in Eukaryota, Metazoa, Chordata, Mammalia, Rodentia, Heteromyidae. The record is from Ensembl.